CCCUGAAGUGGGGGAUAGCCCGCCGAAAGGCGGAUUAAUACCGCAUGUAUUCUGAUCGGCGCAUGCCGGUCGGAAUAAAGUUCCGAUUCAUCGGGAGGCUUCAGGAUGGGCUUGCGGCCUAUCAGCUAGUUGGCAGGGUAACGGCCUACCAAGGCGACGACGGGUAGCUGGCCUGAGAGGGUGGUCAGCCGGAUUGGGACUGAGACACGGCCCAGACUCCUACGGGAGGCAGCAAUUAGGAAUCUUGCGCAAUGGGCGAAAGCCUGACGCAGCGACGCCGCGUGAGCGACGAAGUCCUUCGGGAUGUAAAGCUCUGUCCUGUGGGGAAGAAGGAUGUGACGGUACCCACAGAGAAAGCCCCGGCUAACUACGUGCCAGCAGCCGCGGUAAUACGUAGGGGGCGAGCGUUGUCCGAAUUUACUGGGCGUAAAGCGCGUGUAGGCGGCUCUUUAAGUCAGAUGUGAAAUCUUGCGGCUCAACCGCAAAACUGCAUUUGAAACUGGAGGGCUUGAGCCCGGGAGAGGAGAGUGGAAUUCCUGGUGUAGCGGUGAAAUGCGUAGAUAUCAGGAGGAACACCCGUGGCGAAGGCGGCUCUCUGGCCCGGCGCUGACGCUGAGACGCGAAAGCUAGGGGAGCGAACGGGAUUAGAUACCCCGGUAGUCCUAGCCGUAAACGAUGGACACUAGGUGUUGGUGGUAUCGACCCCACCAGUGCCGUAGCUAACGCAUUAAGU
RNAcentral lists this ribosomal RNA (733 nucleotides) under uncultured bacterium. RNAcentral's name for it is "bacterial SSU rRNA". It matches the Rfam family "Bacterial small subunit ribosomal RNA", at positions 129 to 865 of the family's 1533-position model. The record is from RNAcentral.